RNAcentral lists this unclassified non-coding RNA (679 nucleotides) under Hevea brasiliensis (rubber tree). The record is from RNAcentral. Lineage: Eukaryota; Viridiplantae; Streptophyta; Magnoliopsida; Malpighiales; Euphorbiaceae.
ACAAUUUCUUCAAAUUGAAAUUUCAAGUUUCAACAUUAUCCAAAAAUAAAAGGAGCUAAAUAGGGCAAUUGUUCCAUUUAAUACUUACAAAUGUAAAUCAUCUUAGUAGAGACAGCAAACCAAACAAAGACUAUAGAAGCACAGGUUCAGGAGCAAGGCAACCCGUGUUUAUUUAUUAUCAUAAGAUGGUCGGAAGGUUAGAGAUGCUCAAAAUAUGAUAAACCCUUUCUCCUUCAAGCUUUCAACUGUUUCCUUCAAGCUCACAUUCAAGGGAAUGAAAUCAAUACCCAGGCUCUUUGCUUUUUCCUUGGACAGCUGAUACGUUGGCACGUAAGGCUUAUCGUCUGCACACCUGCAAAGGUUUCCCAGCAAGAAAACUAAUUUAAAAUCUACCACUGAUACAACAGAAAAUAAAUAUGUAGAAAACAAUUUAAUUUAAUAAUAUAAUGCAAGCUAACAUAAAAGUAGAAAACUUUUUCCUUCUUUCACAUCUUUAACCAAAUAAUUGUUCUCUAUGUGCUUAUCAACCAGCACAUGAAUGGGAGGAACACACACAUAGUUACAUAUUGCAAAAAAGCAACAAAAGAAUGGAAAGAGACAUUGUCAUCCUUGUUAAUUGCUGCCUGUUCUACCAAGUAACAUGCACAACUUGGCUAAAACCACACAAAACAAGUGACAA